Molecule: long non-coding RNA, 3457 nt
Organism: Rhododendron vialii
Lineage: Eukaryota; Viridiplantae; Streptophyta; Magnoliopsida; Ericales; Ericaceae
Exons: 4
Source: RefSeq, a predicted model, not a curated record
CAGAUUUCUUUCUCCCUCCUCUACCUCCACACUCUCAGCAUUCAUGGGAAUUAUCAAUUUUUUGCAGUAAUUCUGAUUCGCGAGCUCGCAUUCUGUUGUUUGGUUUUAGUAAUUCGGGUUUUAGCAGCAUUGCAGUUUGUGUAUGUGUUACAGCUGAAUGUCCUUUUUAGUCUGGUUAGUGAAUUUUGUUCAGUCUAGUAACCUAAGGUCUGCUGGUGCUUGUGGAAGAGAAGGUUAGGGACCUUAGGUUUUGCUUGAUUGAAUUGUUCAUGUUCGACGGGGUUGCUCUAGCGUUAGGCCAGCUUUGCGUAUUAUCAGGGUGUUUUCACCGUGUUGGUUCUCCUCUCAAAAAUUUUAUCUCCAAAAUUUGUGACCUUUUCGUCAUUCGUGUUUUUCAUCUCUAGUGAUUUUGUUCCAAGUGAAGAAUCGUAUGGCCAGAACAUGGUUUAGGAAAUUAUAAAUUAAGGGGGAAUGUAGGAGAUAAUUUAGAAUCUAAUAUUUAGGUUAGAUUCGUUUAAUAACACAGUUCAUGUAUUCAGGAUCAUGAGGCGUGAAUGGGCAUAUUCAAAGUACGACGUUCGUGCAUCUUGGGGAGUGUGAAGAUACAUGUAUGGAUUUAAUGUGUAGAGUCCAAGAUGUAUUUAAGUGCCCUAUUGUCAUGACCCAACUCUAGUAAGGGUCACAUGACCGGCUGGUGACAGAAUCACCAAGGCCUCCAAAUGCAUCAUGUAUCAGAGCAUACUAAACAACAUUUAUAGAGAAAUAACGGUAUUAGACAACAUUAAUAUGUUGACAAUGGAGUUUAUAUACAUGGUUGAUUAUAGAGCAUGUUGGAUGCAAAUUACAUGUAAAUAAGUAUACCCCUGACUGGACAGGACAAAUACGGGGGUGCCGGCCGUGUAUUUGGGCUAUUUGAUGAAACCAAGUUUUGGUAGGGUGUUGUAGGGUCCACACGUGGUUGGGGACUAUAAAGAUAAUCAGAGUCACAGAAGAUCUAUUUAUCUUAAUUUCAGUGUACAAUUCUAAUUGUGUAUAUAUAUUGUUUUAAAUUUUAUUUAGAUACCCUUUUAAUGAACUGCUUGUUUUUGAGAAUCGCUUGUCUCUACCCGUCUCCCCAACUCCCCAUGUGCCGCUCUCUGCCUCAACUCUCUCUCCAUUUCCCCCAAAUCUAGUUUCUAUCUCUAAACCUCAACUGCCCAGUUUCAAACGCUCCAGGGUUUCAAGAGUUUCAGCUCAGGUUUGGAGCAAUGAAGAUAAAAAGAACUCCGAUGAUACGGUCGAGGUGGAGGAGGACUUGGCGAUUGACGGAGCUGUUUAUCAGAACACACUGAGGGUGAAGUUAACUGUGUCAAAUGUAAUUCAACGGGUUCAUUACUUGCCCCUUGCUCUGUUGACAACACUGCAAAGGUGAUUUGUCUGAAGCAUAUGUAAUUUGGUUCUCAGGAGAUACAUACCAUGAGGUGUAGUCCUAGUGGACCAGGCACAAACAACCCUAGCCAGUGGUUUCUAUUGGGAAGAUUAUUUGUUUUGACAUUGUUUCCAGUGAAUCAUUUGCCUCAACAGUUAAGCUUCUGAAUGUUGAGCUGAGGAAACUUAUUUGUAGCUUGAAUGGCGGUACGGAACUUACAUGGCUUUUUUCAAGUUUCAUUUCAGAGAGAAUGCAUGUAAAAGUUCGAAUAAUGAUCCGUGAUUAGCAAAUUGGGAUCAUUUGUCACUUUCUUGUUGGCAUAGUAAGCCACUGUUCGGUUUCAAUUUCAUUUUGUACAUCAGAAGUCUAUCAGAAUUUGGCAUGAUUGGUAAUUUUGUUGCGAAGAGAUUUAGAGAUUCUACGUGCAUUAGCUUAGGAUUUACUUUAUUUGAUUGAAAAGUUGUGUGUUUAACUUAUCUGUUGGGUGGUUCUCAUUUCUUUGAAGACGUCACAUGCUAGUUGCUACUAUGCACGUGAUUUUUUGUUUUUUGAUGUUUCGAAGAAGCGAAUGAGAAGGUGAGAACUCGAAUGGGAUUAGGGUUUCUCUCAUAUUCAUAGUAAAUCAUGCCAUUAGACCUAGGGCUGCAUUAAUAGGUCUCUGAAUUGUAGGAAAAUCCACUCCAGUAUCAUCAUCUCUAUUUUUAUUUAUUGCUAGAUUGUAAUUAGCUGUCCAAAAUAUCUUUACCAGGGUGCUAUUGUUCCAGAUUUUCUUAAUUCAUGCAAAUGUCAGCAAUACUAUUUUUUUCUUUUAUGACAUGGAGCAGUUUCAUUCAUGAGCCCAACGACACGAAAAGGUAUUUCAGCACCAAGACAAAUUAGACAAUGGCGAAAUCCUACACAACCAAUCUAAUCAUAUAACAUAAACUACAGAACCAUGGCAUUGUAACACCUAUGCCUUUUAACUUGGGGCGAGCUUCAUGCUCUCUUGGCACAUGCUGCAUUGCUUCAUAACUCAUUAAGUUUCACGGCAAACUAACAACCAGUUUCGGUAUGGUGACUGUCUAAGAUAAAAGGCAACAUGUCACCCCAAAGUUUGGUUAGACUCUAUAACCAAAGUGAAAGAAAGCAUCAAUAAAUCCACAACAAAUGAAUAAAGACAAAAAUAGAAGUAGAAAAAACUCUCUUAAACCAACCGAACUCUCCAUUGAGAUUCCCCAAAAGCGCCAGGAUUUCUCAGAUUUUCUCUCCUCCAUGAAAGAGGCAGUCUGAAACCCUAGGCGAAUGUAGAAAAAAAUGGGUGAUAAAAUAAUCCUUUUUUGGAAAUGCAAUACUAGAAUGAUGAAACCCAAUUAUGCCAAUACUGGAAUGACGAUAUCCAAACAAAUACUUCUGUUGCAUGCAUGUUGUAUUUGAUUGAAUCCAAUUUUCCAGCAUUCAUUUGAUUCGUGGAUGUUGCAACAGUCAUAUGUCCAGAAUAGAGAGUUACUGUGAUGCUUAUGAAUUCUGAACUAUGUUUUCGUACAAUGGUUCGCGUGAUGACCCUCGGUCAUUGUAACUGCUUAUGAUUGAAUAUUUGUUGAUAUUUCCUUACAGAUAAUCCCUCUCUUUCUUGUGAAAUCAUUCUUGCACUGAUUGGAGUUUACGUAAAUGAAAUUACCAGCGAUCCUGUGUAUUCCGUUGCUUUUAGCACCAAUGGUGAGUAUUUAGUCAGUGGAUCUCUUGAUAAAGCCGUGCACUAUUGGUCUUUGAAAGAGCACAAGAUCGUGAAAACCUGCACCAGCAAUGGGGGUAUUUUUGAAGUCUUCUGGUAUAAGCAGGGGGACAAGAUAGCUGCCUCUUUUGCUGACAACACUCUGGGCUUGUUCGUUUGGGGUACUCAAAAUCCCUGCGCACGGUCCCCAAUAAAUUUUCUCUGACAUUAGAUUGUAGGGACUUGAAACUUUCUCUACUGCAUUGGAUGUUGGGGAUUCUAUUUCCGUUGUGAAUAAAGGUGUUUGACUAAUUUUAUUUGGGAUAAUAACUUCGGCAUUCAUAUUUCUAACUUUAAAA